AUAUGAUGAUUCCCAUUUAGAUGACGAGUCUUAUUUGCGCUUGCAAUGCAGACAACAUCUUUUUAAUACCAUUCAUGCAAUUUCUGAAA
RNAcentral lists this small nucleolar RNA (89 nucleotides) under Ceratocystis platani. Lineage: Eukaryota; Fungi; Ascomycota; Sordariomycetes; Microascales; Ceratocystidaceae. RNAcentral also lists the same sequence under 1 other name. The record is from RNAcentral.